Long non-coding RNA from Carassius gibelio (silver crucian carp), 857 nucleotides. RefSeq lists it as uncharacterized. The record is from RefSeq and is a predicted model, not a curated record. The transcript has 5 exons. Lineage: Eukaryota; Metazoa; Chordata; Actinopteri; Cypriniformes; Cyprinidae.
AUUUACAGGAACUAAUUAUUUCAAAUUGAAACAAAAAGUUUUUGUUCAUUAUAAAAAUGUGGUGUUGUUUCUUCAGAGUCGGACAGGACAGGUUGUUAACAUUACAGCCGAAGUUAACAGGGCCUUCACAUCCAGCAUGGAGGUUGGGAUUUUGGUGAGAGCUGUGAAGAUCUCUUCAGCAACAGACAGUGGAAAGUCUGUCAAGGUUUUGCCACCUUUGUGGCCUGACGAAUCAAAGCGGGAAAGGCAAGAAAUAACACUUCAAACUAAAAAUUUUAGGCACAAGUUUUCUGUGAAAUAGAUCAAACAUUCAUCAGCACAGUGUCUGUUUGGGUUAGCACAGAUACAACUGAAGCAGGUGAUUCCACGCACGCAGGCGGAGCAGAUGGAGUACAGACUGAUCCAUGCAGAGAUAAUUAACGAUCUUCUCAGCAGCUGCUCCUCUCAGAUAGUUUGUCAGUGAGUCAGAGUCUGGAUUACCAGGAUGUGGCGCCUGCAGAGCGGACUCGGGUAGAAAGUGUUGAGCUGGUGCUCCCGCCUCAUGCCAAUCACCAGGUCAGCACAUUUGGUGGACAAAUCAUGGCCUGUUUGGAGAACGUAGCCACCAUCUCUGCCAGUCGUUUGUGUAAUGCUCACCCAACUCUGCGGAGCAUAGACAUGUUCCACUUCACGGGCCGUCCCACAUUGGAGAAAGGCUGGUGUUAAAGGCAAUCUUAAACAAUGCAUUCAAGCAAAGUAUGGAGGUGGGAGUGUGUGGAGAGCCCCUGCGACACAUCACCACGGCCUUCAUGACCUUUGAGGUCUUAAACAAUGACAGGAAGCCAUGCACGUCGCCAAGGAUACGGCCUGAGCCUGUG